CAAGGGUACUUCUGCUGGCCCGAACUGAACCAGAACAAGUGUAUCUCCACUUUUUCUGAUUCAGUAACUUUAGGUGACAAAGUAACUAAUUUUAAUCCCUGGUUGAUAAACUCUCCUGAAUCAUUUAAGCUAAGCUACACAUUUCAUCCAGAAUUCCUGGCAAAGGUGUUAGAAUUUCUCCAUGAUUGGUCAGUGAGCUCAUCAGCAUUUUCCCAGAACCUGGGGUCCGUGGCUGCUGGGACCUUAGAAGUUAGUCAUCCUCUUCCUCUUGAUUUUCAUUUCCUGGUAGCAAGUUGACGACUGUCUGUCAUGGGCCCUUGUUUGUUACAGACAGCCUUAAUGGUAUGUUUGGGGAUACCAGAGCGGAACCCUGUGAUGAUCCUGUUCCAAGGAUGAGAUUUAUUUGGUUAGCACACUGUUUUAAGGCAUAAAUGUGAAUGCCUUGGUCACCAUGGGCACUAGCCCUUAUUACCAAAAAAGCAUAUUAUACGUUAAUCUGUCUGUUCUGAAGAUGUGUGAAAUGCUACCCACAAUAGACCUUAGGAAGUUAAACUGUAUCUCUUAUUAAGAGCAGAAUAAACCUGUAUGGAAUCAUGCAUGAAAUAUAUGCACACAUGGAAUACCAGCCAGUCAUUAAAAAGAAUAAAAUGAGGUGACCAAACAUCAGUACUGGCAAAGCUCAAAAACAUAAUGUUGAAGAACAACAACAACAACAAAAGUAUAGAAGGUUACAUGCAAAAGCAUGCUGUAUGUGGUGUAGGGUUACAUAAGGAGUAAAAAUACCAACACGUGCAUAGACAUUUCAAGAUGGUAGGCCACUGGGGCAAGAGGAAGGGGCUUUGCAUGGGGAAAUGGAGUAAAAGGGAAAAGAAAAAUGAUCAAUUUUAUUGGUAAUGUUUUAUUUAUUAGGUUGAGUGGUGGACACAGGAUUGUUUCUCACCUUAUUCUCUCUACUUUGUUUUUUAAAUAAAAUAAUUGAGGGGCUCCUGGGUGGCUCAGUCGGUUGAGCACCCAACUUCAGCUCAGGUCAUGAUCUCAUGCUUCAUGGGUUUGAGUCCCACAGUGGCUUCCUGCUCUCAGUACAGAGACCACUUCUGAUCCUCUGUCCCCCCUCUCUUUGCCCCUCCCCUGCUUGUGAUCUUUCUCUCUCAAAAAUAAAUAAAACAUUAAAAAUAAAAUAAAAUAUUUGAGAGUAUUCGAUAAUGGGACAUGUUCCACCUGGGUCAUUGUUAAAUUUCUACUUCCCAGAUGCUGUAUUGGUCAGGGUUCAAUAGCAGAGACAUAAUCUAUUCUGGGUCCCUAGCUAGUUUAGGCGGGAGAGGAUUUAAUAGUGUUUACAGAAUUCUUCAGGAGGAUGAAGGCACCAUGCUGCGAAAGUAGGAGACACCAAGAACACUGGUGUCUUUCAAGAUCGUAAGACCACUGGGCGCCUGGGUGGCGCAUUCGGUUAAGCGUCCGACUUCAGCCAGGUCACGAUCUCGCGGUCCGGGAGUUCGAGCCCCGCGUCGGGCUCUGGGCUGAUGGCUCAGAGCCUGGAGCCUGUUUCCGAUUCUGUGUCUCCCUCUCUUUCUCUGCCCCUCCCCCGUUCAUGCUCUGUCUCUCUCUGUCCCAAAAAUAAAUAAACGUUGAAAAAAAAAAUUAAAAAAAAAAAUCGUAAGACCAGACUCUAUAGCAGUGCCAGGAGAGACAGUGGGGGCAACAGAGGUGUGGCUGCCCCCUCACUGCUUCCUUCUUGGUGGCAAGAGCUCACGUGCACCUGGGAAGUGUAGUUCUGAACUUUCCAGCCUUUGCAGUGGGGGAAGACACGUGAGAAGGGAGGAAAUGUUCAUCUACCACAUUUCUCACACAAACUGGACUGCUCCAUCCUAUAAUCUCUUUCUGCCCUGAUAACCGCCUGGCCCCACCUUCAACUCCUACCUUCAGUCCCAUUCUGAGCUUCUGCCCUCAGCCUCCACAAUCAAUUGGGGAUCAGCGGUCAGAGGACUCCGUGAAAACCAAGAAGCGAUUCAGUAAGCACCGUUACUGGAUGGUGGGUUCGUGCAUUUAGGACCAGCCACAGGAUUGCAAAGAAUGCACUUGACCUGGAAAAAUAUCUGGGGUCACAGAGGAUCCUAGUCAGCGAGGUGGUCCCAAGGGGAAGGUUUAGUGUUUGGUGGUGAAGGAGCCCAGCUCUGGACUCAGACCAUCUCAGGCCGGUUUUGACGGCCUUACAUUUGCUUAAGGGUUACCUUGGGCAAGUGCCUUAAUCUCUCUGCCCUUCUGUUAUCUGCAAAAUGGGGAUGGUGUUCCUGCUGCUGAUAAUAAUAAUAAAACCUCCCUCACCAACUGUUGGGAUGAUUAGAUGAUAUGUGAUAAUGAUAAAUGGCAAACGCAAGCAAUGUUGACAAAGCACUGGGCCGAGCAGAGCACAUACUUUAACUCAUUUAACUUCACAGCAGUGCUAGAAGUGGGAACUUUCGUUGUUCGCGUCUCCCAGGUGUGGAAACUGAGGUUUGAACCCAGUGGUCGCGCAUCAGGCUCUGUGCUCAUGAUCACUCCAUGAUGCUUCUCUCAGGAUACAUGAAGGGCUCAGGACAGACUGAAUACUUGGUGAGACUGAAUCCUUAGUACUCAUUACCUGGAAGAUCAGGUAGAGGGAGGUGAGCAUGGGAAUCACAACACUGAAUUCUGUCAAGUGGAAAAAAUGUGCUGCCUGUGGGUCCAGGGCUGGGGCAUAGCUAGGUUGAGUACCCCUGAAGGCAGGUGUGCUAUCCCUCACUGUAUGUCCCCACCUCUAAGGUGGUAAAGAAAGAGGCUUAGCAGAAGCAGCUGUGAUUUUUAUAGACCUCUGGGAGAAAGCCUCCCUAUUUCAAGAGGCAGCUACCCACCCUUGGAAGUCUGUAGGUAGGGGCUCUCACAACUAAUGGGUGCAAGAUGGGAACAUGGGCAGGAGGAGAGGAGGGAACUUGUAAGGGAUGGCCAGUAUCCUUUGCUUCUCCUGCUGAAAUUCACUGCCAUGGCCGUCCCAUGAGAGCUUCGUACUACUACUUCAUCCUGUGAGUGGGAGCGUCCGAGUGAUAUGCUUAGGUAUGCCUGGGCGCCUGGCUCCUGGGAGCGAGAAGUACCAGGGGUGUUUAAUCUAGCCAGAUAUUUCUGCUUGGGGAAGGUUCUGUGCUUGUGGCUUCCUCUCUAUUGUUGACAAAGGGAACAUGGCGAAUGUUAGAAAAGUGCUAAAGACAUGCUAGAACCCAACCGAGACUUUCCUCUUCCACAAACUAUAUAUAAUGCUAAAAUGCCACUGUGGAUUAAGGAGGUCUUUCAAACAAAUGCGUAUAUUAUGAAAUUCAUCAAUGACCACAUAGCUUUGAAAAACAGUAGAUGGUAGAUAUGUAAAAAGUACUUAGCCUUCGGAUAAGGAAUGCUAGGUGGAUAUGCGGGUUAGAGGACAGGGACUUGGUCUUUGUCUCCAGGGCAUGGGAAAUAGAAGGAUCUGAGCCUACUGUCCCCAUGACUUCCAUACUCACCAGGCAGGACUGGCUACACAAUUUGCAAGGCCCAGUGUAAAAGGAAAAUGGGAGCCCCUCAUUAAAAAUUUACUAACAAUUUUAACAUACCAACAGAACAUUAAACCAAGUGUGGAGACCCUCUCAGUGUGGGGUCCUCUGAGACUGCACAGAUCACACGCACAUGAAACUGGCCCCACCACUAGGGAUUCUCCCCAAAUGAAAGCGUAGUUUCGAUGUUGGACAAUGGGCCCUCUACUGAGGUGUCCUUUUUCUUUCUACGAAGUUAGCUGAGCAAGAUGACAAGUGAUUUCACACACAACACAUGAAGCUCAAAGAACUUCCCAUUGUCCUUCUUUCCUUCCUUUUACCUAUGAGCAUUGAGCAUUGUCCCCAUGUGGGGCACUAGGAAAGACUUCACUGCAACCUUGAGGGGACUCACUUUGUUGUCUAGAAGAUAACAAAGGGUCCUCAAGGGGCCCUUCCAAUUCUUUGUGGACCUGAGGAGCCAGGGUUCCAAUUGUGUUUUAGAAAGUCACACAUAUAGGGGCGCCUGGGUGGCGCAGUCGGUUAAGUGUCCGACUUCAGCCAGGUCACGAUCUCGCGGUCCGUGAGUUCGAGCCCCGCGUCGGGCUCUGGGCUGAUGGCUCAGAGCCUGGAGCCUGUUUCCGAUUCUGUGUCUCCCUCUCUCUCUGCCCCUCCCCCAUUCAUGCUCUGUCUCUCUCUGUCCCAAAAAUAAAUAAACGUUGAAAAAAAAAAAAAAAAGAAAGUCACACAUAUAUACACAAUGGAAUAUUACUUAGCCAUAAAAAAGAAUGAAAUGACAUGGAUGGAGCUAGAAAGUAUUAUGCUAAGUGAAAUCAGUCAGAGAAAGACAAAUACCAUAUGAUUUCACUCAUAUGUGGAAUUUAAGAAACAAAACAGAUGAACACAGUGGGGGGGAAAAAGAGAAAUGCAAACCAGAAAACAGAUUCUUAACUAUAGAGAACAAACUGAGGGUUUCUGGAGGGGAAGUGGGCGGGGGGAUGGGUUAAAUGGGAUAUGGGUAUUAAGGAGGACACUUGUGACGAGCACUGGAUCUUGUAUGUAAGUAAUGAAUCACUAAAUCCUGCACCUGAAACUAAUAUUACACUAUAUGUUAACUAACUGGAAUUUUAAUAAAAACUUAGAACAAAACAAAACAAACCCCCCCAAAAAGAACAAAAAAGGAAAGUUGCACUGGCACAGGGUGGAGACUGGAUUUGGGGAAGGCCAGGUUGGUACUAGGGAGCCCAGUGUGGGACUGCUCACUGCCCAUGUGAGACAUAACUGGGUCCUGACAACAGCAGUGAUACCUGGAACUCCUGGAAAGGAGAGGGUAGAUUCAUGAGUUAGUUCAGACAUCGAUGCCAUUGAGUUUGGUGAUUGAUUGUAGGUGGGGGGUGGGUAUUAAAGUUGAAAGAAAAUACUAAAAUGACUUCUUGGCUUCUGACUUUGAGCAGAUUUACCGGCACAGAAAGAAAGCCAGUAUAGAGGGUAAGAUUAUCCAUAUUAUUAAUAAUUCUGCAAGUAGAAGAUAAGAUAUUGGGAGAGCUACAUAUCACUAAAUGCUUUUCUGACUUACACAUCACUCCUCUCCUUCCUCCCCACCACAAACCUCCUCCACAAAACUGUCACACAGAACACAAAAGAAUCACCAGUCUUUAGUGGAAAUAUGCAGUUUGAAAACUAGCAAGUGGAAUGCAGUGAGCAGAUUGUUUAUUCCACCUUGGAAGCAACGAAAAUAUAAUUUGAGAAAAGAAAAUUGUGACUUUAUGAUUGUCUUUAGUUCUGUAAUCAAGGGCAAUCAUCCUAAUACAAAUAUGUUUUUGAAAAACAGAAAUAAGUUCCCUGGCUUUUA
Molecule: long non-coding RNA, 5361 nt
Filed under: Lynx pardinus (Iberian lynx)
Lineage: Eukaryota; Metazoa; Chordata; Mammalia; Carnivora; Felidae
Source: RNAcentral